GACGAACGCUGGCGGCGUGCUUAACACAUGCAAGUCGAACGGAAAGGCCCUGCUUUUGUGGGGUGCUCGAGUGGCGAACGGGUGAGUAACACGUGAGUAACCUGCCCUUGACUUUGGGAUAACUUCAGGAAACUGGGGCUAAUACCGGAUAGGAGCUCCUGCUGCAUGGUGGGGGUUGGAAAGUUUCGGCGGUUGGGGAUGGACUCGCGGCUUAUCAGCUUGUUGGUGGGGUAGUGGCUUACCAAGGCUUUGACGGGUAGCCGGCCUGAGAGGGUGACCGGACACAUUGGGACUGAGAUACGGCCCAGACUCCUACGGGAGGCAGCAGUGGGGAAUAUUGCACAAUGGGCUGAAGCCUGAUGCAGCAACGCCGCGUGCGGGAUGACGGCCUUCGGGUUGUAAACCGCUUUCGCCUGUGACGAGGCGUGAGUGACGGUAAUGGGUAAAGAAGCACCGGCUAACUACGUG
Molecule: ribosomal RNA, 468 nt
Filed under: uncultured bacterium
Lineage: Bacteria
Description: partial 16S ribosomal RNA
Rfam family: Bacterial small subunit ribosomal RNA
Source: RNAcentral